CAGCAGCCGCGGUAAUACGAAGGGGGCUAGCGUUGUUCGGAUUUACUGGGCGUAAAGCGCACGUAGGCGGACUUUUAAGUCAGGGGUGAAAUCCCGGGGCUCAACCCCGGAACUGCCUUUGAUACUGGAAGUCUUGAGUAUGGUAGAGGUGAGUGGAAUUCCGAGUGUAGAGGUGAAAUUCGUAGAUAUUCGGAGGAACACCAGUGGCGAAGGCGGCUCACUGGACCAUUACUGACGAUGAGGUGCGAAAGCGUGGGGAGCAAACAGGAUUAGAUACCCGUGUAGUCCCUGUCUCUUAUAC
This 301-nucleotide ribosomal RNA is filed under the name uncultured bacterium. Its description in RNAcentral is "partial 16S ribosomal RNA". It matches the Rfam family "Bacterial small subunit ribosomal RNA", at positions 509 to 807 of the family's 1533-position model. The record is from RNAcentral.